Molecule: ribosomal RNA, 324 nt
Filed under: Glissomonadida sp.
Lineage: Eukaryota; Cercozoa; Glissomonadida
Also listed under: 1 other name
Description: SSU rRNA
Rfam family: Eukaryotic small subunit ribosomal RNA (bases 59-324)
Source: RNAcentral
GAUUUCUGGCUUGGUUCGCCUGGCCCGCCACGGUUACGUGUGUGAGUGCCGGUGUGGAUCUGCCAUCACUUCUAGGUCACAUUCAUACUCUUCAUUGAGCCGUGAAUGCGUAUCUAGAUCUUUUACUUUGAAAAAAUUAGAGUGUUUCAAGCAGGCUUUUGCUAUGAAUACAUUAGCAUGGAAUAAUAAUUUAGGACUUUGGUCUUAUUUUGUUGGUUUCUAGGACUAAAGUAAUGAUUGAUAGGGACAGUUGGGGGUGCUAGUAUUCAGCGGCCAGAGGUGAAAUUCUUGGAUUCGCUGAAGACUAACUUAUGCGAAAGCAUU